RNAcentral lists this ribosomal RNA (447 nucleotides) under uncultured bacterium. Its description in RNAcentral is "bacterial SSU rRNA". It matches the Rfam family "Bacterial small subunit ribosomal RNA", at positions 329 to 793 of the family's 1533-position model. The record is from RNAcentral.
UGCCAGACUCCUACGGGAGGCAGCAGUGGGGAAUAUUAGACAAUGGGGGAAACCCUGAUCCAGCGACGCCGCGUGAGUGAAGAAGUAUUUCGGUACGUAAAGCUCUAUCAGCAGGAAAGAAAAUGACGGUACCUGACUAAGAAGCCCCGGCUAACUACGUGCCAGCAGCCGCGGUAAUACGUAGGGGGCAAGCGUUAUCCGGAUUUACUGGGUGUAAAGGGAGCGUAGACGGCAGCGCAAGUCUGGAGUGAAAUGCCGGGGCCCAACCCCGGAACUGCUCUGGAAACUGUGAAGCUGGAGUGCAGGAGAGGUAAGCGGAAUUCCUGGUGUAGCGGUGAAAUGCGUAGAUAUCAGGAGGAACACCGGCGGCGAAGGCGGCUUACUGGACUGUAACUGACGUUGAGGCUCGAAGGCGUGGGGAGCAAACAGGAUUAGAUACCCUCGUAC